GACGAACGCUGGCGGCGUGCUUAACACAUGCAAGUCGAACGGAAAGGCCCUGCUUUUGUGGGGUGCUCGAGUGGCGAACGGGUGAGUAACACGUGAGUAACCUGCCCUUGACUUUGGGAUAACUUCAGGAAACUGGGGCUAAUACCGGAUAGGAGCUCCUGCUGCAUGGUGGGGGUUGGAAAGUUUCGGCGGUUGGGGAUGGACUCGCGGCUUAUCAGCUUGUUGGUGGGGUAGUGGCUUACCAAGGCUUUGACGGGUAGCCGGCCUGAGAGGGUGACCGGCCACAUUGGGACAGAGAUACGGCCCAGACUCCUACGGGAGGCAGCAGUGGGGAAUAUUGCACAAUGGGCGGAAGCCUGAUGCAGCAACGCCGCGUGCGGGAUGACGGCCUUCGGGUUGUAAACCGCUUUCGCCUGUGACGAAGCGUGAGUGACUGUAAUGGGUAAAGAAGCACCGGCUAACUACGU
RNAcentral lists this ribosomal RNA (467 nucleotides) under uncultured bacterium. RNAcentral's name for it is "partial 16S ribosomal RNA". It matches the Rfam family "Bacterial small subunit ribosomal RNA", at positions 28 to 506 of the family's 1533-position model. The record is from RNAcentral.